UGGUAAUGCCGGAUGCUCCAUCACACUGCAUGGUGUGUUGGGAAAGCCUUUGCGGCAUGGGAUGGGGUCGCGUCCUAUCAGCUUGAUGGCGGGGUAACGGCCCACCAUGGCUUCGACGGGUAGCCGGCCUGAGAGGGCGACCGGCCACAUUGGGACUGAGAUACGGCCCAGACUCCUACGGGAGGCAGCAGUGGGGAAUAUUGCACAAUGGGCGCAAGCCUGAUGCAGCGACGCCGCGUGAGGGAUGGAGGCCUUCGGGUUGUAAACCUCUUUUGUUAGGGAGCAAGGCAUUUUGUGUUGAGUGUACCUUUCGAAUAAGCACCGGCUAACUACGUGCCAGCAGCCGCGGUAAUACGUAGGGUGCAAGCGUUAUCCGGAAUUAUUGGGCGUAAAGGGCUCGUAGGCGGUUCGUCGCGUCCGGUGUGAAAGUCCAUCGCUUAACGGUGGAUCCGCGCCGGGUACGGGCGGGCUUGAGUGCGGUAGGGGAGACUGGAAUUCCCGGUGUAACGGUGGAAUGUGUAGAUAUCGGAAAAGAACAC
This 539-nucleotide ribosomal RNA is filed under the name Bifidobacterium breve. RNAcentral's name for it is "bacterial SSU rRNA". It matches the Rfam family "Bacterial small subunit ribosomal RNA", at positions 161 to 709 of the family's 1533-position model. The record is from RNAcentral. Lineage: Bacteria; Bacillati; Actinomycetota; Actinomycetes; Bifidobacteriales; Bifidobacteriaceae.